AUUCAUGUGGCGAGUCCAAAUCAGGACGAAAUGCGCAUCCUGGAU
RNAcentral lists this non-coding RNA (45 nucleotides) under Trichobilharzia regenti. Lineage: Eukaryota; Metazoa; Platyhelminthes; Trematoda; Strigeidida; Schistosomatidae. The record is from RNAcentral.